GUACUCAGUUUAGCAGCACAUAUACUAAAAGUAGGAUGACGGAGAAGAUUAGCAUGGCUCCUUCAAAAGGAUGACUUGCACAUUCGUGAAACAUUCCAUAUUUUU
Small nuclear RNA from Cervus hanglu yarkandensis (Yarkand deer), 105 nucleotides. The record is from Ensembl. Lineage: Eukaryota; Metazoa; Chordata; Mammalia; Artiodactyla; Cervidae.